AUACGGAAGGCAGCAGUGGGGAAUAUUGCACAAUGGGCGCAAGCCUGAUGCAGCCAUGCCGCGUGUAUGAAGAAGGCCUUCGGGUUGUAAAGUACUUUCAGUCGUUGAGGUAAGGUGUUAAGGUUAAUAACCUUAGCAAUUGACGUUAGCGACAGAAGAAGCCACCGGCUAACUCCGUGCCAGCAGCCGCGGUAAUACGGAGGGUGCGAGCGUUAAUCGGAAUUACUGGGCGUAAAGGGCACGCAGGCGGUUAAUUAAGUUGGAUGUGAAAUCCCCGGGCUUAACCUGGGAAUGGCAUUCAAGACUGGUUAGCUAGAGUCUUGUAGAGGGGGGUAGAAUUCCAUGUGUAGCGGUGAAAUGCGUAGAGAUGUGGAGGAAUACCGGUGGGCGAAAGGCGGCCCCCUGGGACAAAGACUGACGCUCAUGUGCGAAAGCGUGGGGAGCAAACAGGGAUUAGAUACC
RNAcentral lists this ribosomal RNA (462 nucleotides) under uncultured bacterium. RNAcentral describes it as "bacterial SSU rRNA". It matches the Rfam family "Bacterial small subunit ribosomal RNA", at positions 339 to 786 of the family's 1533-position model. The record is from RNAcentral.